Molecule: ribosomal RNA, 453 nt
Filed under: uncultured rhizosphere oomycete
Lineage: Eukaryota; Oomycota
Description: eukaryotic LSU rRNA
Rfam family: Eukaryotic large subunit ribosomal RNA
Source: RNAcentral
GUGCGAGACCGAUAGCGAACAAGUACCGUGAGGGAAAGAUGAAAAGAACUUUGAGAAGAGAGUUAAAGAGUACCUGAAACUGCUGAAAGGGAACCGAAUCGUUUCCAGUGUCUAUAAUCCAUGGUAUAUUUCAUUGGCGAGUGAGUGCGUGCAGCGUUUUGGAAGCGGUCUCCGCUCCUGUCGUUGUUGUGCAUUUGCUUGCUGGUGCCCUGUGCUGUGGUGGGACGUCAGAGUCAGUUUGUAUGUUGCGGGAAAUGGUUAUCAGGGAGGUAGGUCGCUUCGGUGGCUGUUAUAUCCUGGUAACUAGUCGUCGUGGCUGAGACUGAGGUGCCUACAACGCGCUUUCGAGUCUGCGGGCUUCUCGUGUGGCUGUUUGCUUUGAUAGCUUGCUAUGUUGGUGAAUAAGUCGUGCGAUUGAGACCUGUAGUAACUUGUUGCUGUUCGGGACUUUGA